Molecule: ribosomal RNA, 481 nt
Filed under: uncultured bacterium
Lineage: Bacteria
Description: partial 16S ribosomal RNA
Rfam family: Bacterial small subunit ribosomal RNA
Source: RNAcentral
GACGAACGCUGGCGGCGUGCUUAACACAUGCAAGUCGAACGCUGAAGCCCUUUCGGGGGUGGAUGAGUGGCGAACGGGUGAGUAACACGUGGGUAAUCUGCCCUGCACUCUGGGAUAAGCCUUGGAAACGGGGUCUAAUACCGGAUAGGACACAUCGCCGCAUGGUGUGUGUGUGGAAAGUUCCGGCGGUGCAGGUUGAGCCCGCGGCCUAUCAGCUUGUUGGUGGGGUGAUGGCCUACCAAGGCGACGACGGGUAGCCGGCCUGAGAGGGUGAGAGGCCACAGUGGGACUAAGAGACGGCCCAGACUCCGACGGGAGGCAGCAGUGGGGAAUCUUGCGCAAUGGGCGAAAGGCUGACGCAGCAUCGCCGCGUGGGGGAUGCCGGCCUUCGGGUUGUAAACCUCUUUCGACCGGGGCGAAGGGUGACUGACGGUACCGGUAGAAGAAGCACCGGCUAAGUACGUGCCAGCAGCCGCAGUAA